UUUGGCACCGGUGUCUCCUCAGA
This 23-nucleotide non-coding RNA is filed under the name Arabidopsis thaliana (thale cress). Lineage: Eukaryota; Viridiplantae; Streptophyta; Magnoliopsida; Brassicales; Brassicaceae. The record is from RNAcentral.